AUAUAAGUAAGCGGAGGAAAAGAAACUAAAUAGGAUUCCCUUAGUAAUGGCGAAUGAACAGGGAUCAGCUCAGUAUGGAAAUCGGGGCUUCCCAGCCUUGAAUUGUAGUCUCAAGAGGUAUCGCCAACGGAGGCGCAGAUGUAAGCCUCUUGGAAAAGAGCAUCAAUGAGGGUGAGAAUCCCGUUUGUCAUCUGCAGUCCCCCGUGCACGGUGUAUCUUCUAAGAGUCGCGUUCCUCGGGAUUGGAGCGUAAAGUGGGUGGUAAAUUUCAUCUAAGGCUAAAUAUGGGUUCGAGACCGAUAGCAAACAAGUACCAUGAGGGAAAGAUGAAAAGGACUUUGAAAAGAGAGUUAAAAGUGCCUGAAAUUGCUGAAAGGGAAGCGAAUGGAACCAGUGCUCUUGGCGAGAUUGUUGUGCGCUAUGGUGAUUGCUGGCUGCUUCAGCGCAAGCGGGGUAGUUGGUACUGAGCCUGCCGCGCGCAGUGUUUCUUACCUUGUGCGUCACCGUCGGUUCACAGGCGAGGAUACUUCUGAGGACAUGGUAACUCUUCCACGGAGGUGUGAAUGUCUUUGGUAAUACUCGUUUGUAGACCGCUCACCUUCGGGUUACGAUGACUAAAUGGUUCUAUUCGACCCGUCUUG
This 640-nucleotide ribosomal RNA is filed under the name Amphidoma languida. RNAcentral's name for it is "partial large subunit ribosomal RNA". It matches the Rfam family "Eukaryotic large subunit ribosomal RNA", at positions 40 to 656 of the family's 3401-position model. Lineage: Eukaryota; Dinophyceae; Gonyaulacales; Amphidomataceae. The record is from RNAcentral.